This 146-nucleotide ribosomal RNA is filed under the name Escherichia coli. RNAcentral's name for it is "partial 23S ribosomal RNA". It matches the Rfam family "Bacterial large subunit ribosomal RNA", at positions 2785 to 2925 of the family's 2925-position model. The record is from RNAcentral. Lineage: Bacteria; Pseudomonadati; Pseudomonadota; Gammaproteobacteria; Enterobacterales; Enterobacteriaceae.
GCACGAAACUUGCCCCGAGAUGAGUUCUCCCUGACUCCUUGAGAGUCCUGAAGGAACGUUGAAGACGACGACGUUGAUAGGCCGGGUGUGUAAGCGCAGCGAUGCGUUGAGCUAACCGGUACUAAUGAACCGUGAGGCUUAACCUU